UGGGGAAUAUUGGACAAUAGGCGAAAGCCUGAUCCAGCCAUGCCGCGUGUGUGAAGAAGGUCUUCGGAUUGUAAAGCACUUUAAGUUGGGAGGAAGGGUUGUAGAUUAAUACUCUGCAAUUUUGACGUUACCGACAGAAUAAGCACCGGCUAACUCUGAGCCAGCAGCCGCGGUAAUACAGAGGGUGCAAGCGUUAAUCGGAAUUACUGGGCGUAAAGCGCGCGUAGGUGGUUUGUUAAGUUGGAUUUGAAAUCCCCGGGCUCAACCUGGGAACUGCAUUCAAAACUGACAAGCUAGAGUAUGGUAGAGGGUGGUGGAAUUUCCUGUGUAGCGGUGAAAUGCGUAGAUAUAGGAAGGAACACCAGUGGCGAAGGCGACCACCUGGACUGAUACUGACACUGAGGUGCGAAAGCGUGGGGAGCAA
This 424-nucleotide ribosomal RNA is filed under the name uncultured bacterium. Its description in RNAcentral is "bacterial SSU rRNA". It matches the Rfam family "Bacterial small subunit ribosomal RNA", at positions 355 to 771 of the family's 1533-position model. The record is from RNAcentral.